ACCUGAAACCGUGUACGUACAAGCAGUGGGAGCCUCUUUAUGGGGUGACUGCGUACCUUUUGUAUAAUGGGUCAGCGACUUAUAUUCUGUAGCAAGGUUAACCGAAUAGGGGAGCCGAAGGGAAACCGAGUCUUAACUGGGCGUUAAGUUGCAGGGUAUAGACCCGAAACCCGGUGAUCUAGCCAUGGGCAGGUUGAAGGUUGGGUAACACUAACUGGAGGACCGAACCGACUAAUGUUGAAAAAUUAGCGGAUGACUUGUGGCUGGGGGUGAAAGGCCAAUCAAACCGGGAGAUAGCUGGUUCUCCCCGAAAGCUAUUUAGGUAGCGCCUCGUGAAUUCAUCUCCGGGGGUAGAGCACUGUUUCGGCAAGGGGGUCAUCCCGACUUACCAACCCGAUGCAAACUGCGAAUACCGGAGAAUGUUAUCACGGGAGACACACGGCGGGUGCUAACGUCCGUCGUGAAGAGGGAAACAACCCAGACCGCCAGCUAAGGUCCCAAAGUCAUGGUUAAGUGGGAAACGAUGUGGGAAGGCCCAGACAGCCAGGAUGUUGGCUUAGAAGCAGCCAUCAUUUAAAGAAAGCGUAAUAGCUCACUGGUCGAGUCGGCCUGCGCGGAAGAUGUAACGGGGCUAAACCAUGCACCGAAGCUGCGGCAGCGACACUAUGUGUUGUUGGGUAGGGGAGCGUUCUGUAAGCCUGUGAAGGUGGCCUGUGAGGGUUGCUGGAGGUAUCAGAAGUGCGAAUGCUGACAUAAGUAACGAUAAAGCGGGUGAAAAGCCCGCUCGCCGGAAGACCAAGGGUUCCUGUCCAACGUUAAUCGGGGCAGGGUGAGUCGACCCCUAAGGCGAGGCCGAAAGGCGUAGUCGAUGGGAAACAGGUUAAUAUUCCUGUACUUGGUGUUACUGCGAAGGGGGGACGGAGAAGGCUAUGUUGGCCGGGCGACGGUUGUCCCGGUUUAAGCGUGUAGGCUGGUUUUCCAGGCAAAUCCGGAAAACCAAGGCUGAGGCGUGAUGACGAGGCACUACGGUGCUGAAGCGACAAAUGCCCUGCUUCCAGGAAAAGCCUCUAAGCAUCAGGUAACAUCAAAUCGUACCCCAAACCGACACAGGUGGUCAGGUAGAGAAUACCAAGGCGCUUGAGAGAACUCGGGUGAAGGAACUAGGCAAAAUGGUGCCGUAACUUCGGGAGAAGGCACGCUGAUAUGUAGGUGAAGCGACUUGCUCGUGGAGCUGAAAUCAGUCGAAGAUACCAGCUGGCUGCAACUGUUUAUUAAAAACACAGCACUGUGCAAACACGAAAGUGGACGUAUACGGUGUGACGCCUGCCCGGUGCCGGAAGGUUAAUUGAUGGGGUUAGCGGUAACGCGAAGCUCUUGAUCGAAGCCCCGGUAAACGGCGGCCGUAACUAUAACGGUCCUAAGGUAGCGAAAUUCCUUGUCGGGUAAGUUCCGACCUGCACGAAUGGCGUAAUGAUGGCCAGGCUGUCUCCACCCGAGACUCAGUGAAAUUGAACUCGCUGUGAAGAUGCAGUGUACCCGCGGCAAGACGGAAAGACCCCGUGAACCUUUACUAUAGCUUGACACUGAACAUUGAGCCUUGAUGUGUAGGAUAGGUGGGAGGCUUUGAAGUGUGGACGCCAGUCUGCAUGGAGCCGACCUUGAAAUACCACCCUUUAAUGUUUGAUGUUCUAACGUUGGCCCGUAAUCCGGGUUGCGGACAGUGUCUGGUGGGUAGUUUGACUGGGGCGGUCUCCUCCUAAAGAGUAACGGAGGAGCACGAAGGUUGGCUAAUCCUGGUCGGACAUCAGGAGGUUAGUGCAAUGGCAUAAGCCAGCUUGACUGCGAGCGUGACGGCGCGAGCAGGUGCGAAAGCAGGUCAUAGUGAUCCGGUGGUUCUGAAUGGAAGGGCCAUCGCUCAACGGAUAAAAGGUACUCCGGGGAUAACAGGCUGAUACCGCCCAAGAGUUCAUAUCGACGGCGGUGUUUGGCACCUCGAUGUCGGCUCAUCACAUCCUGGGGCUGAAGUAGGUCCCAAGGGUAUGGCUGUUCGCCAUUUAAAGUGGUACGCGAGCUGGGUUUAGAACGUCGUGAGACAGUUCGGUCCCUAUCUGCCGUGGGCGCUGGAGAACUGAGGGGGGCUGCUCCUAGUACGAGAGGACCGGAGUGGACGCAUCACUGGUGUUCGGGUUGUCAUGCCAAUGGCACUGCCCGGUAGCUAAAUGCGGAAGAGAUAAGUGCUGAAAGCAUCUAAGCACGAAACUUGC
Molecule: ribosomal RNA, 2264 nt
Filed under: Escherichia coli
Lineage: Bacteria; Pseudomonadati; Pseudomonadota; Gammaproteobacteria; Enterobacterales; Enterobacteriaceae
Description: partial 23S ribosomal RNA
Rfam family: Bacterial large subunit ribosomal RNA
Source: RNAcentral